This is a long non-coding RNA of Notolabrus celidotus (New Zealand spotty), 769 nucleotides long. RefSeq lists it as uncharacterized. Lineage: Eukaryota; Metazoa; Chordata; Actinopteri; Labriformes; Labridae. The record is from RefSeq and is a predicted model, not a curated record. The transcript has 3 exons.
CUCCACUCACCUGUGAUCCAUCUACUCCUGAUUAGCCGCCUCAUAUACGCUCCGGUCUUCUCCCCACAUGCUGCUAGAUUGUGACCAUUCCUCAAGUGUGCCUCACCUCUUGCUGCCCAGCCUCAGCCACAUCCAACGCAUCUCAACCGCCUCAACCUAGCCAGCUUUGACACUUUCAUCCACACCUCUACUAUCCAGCCUCUGGGCCUAGUUCUCCUCCAAACCCUAAAUCAUGGAUGCUGCAUCCUCCACUCUAAAGAAGGGAGGGACCACCUGGCUUUUUAUCGGCGCACAUUUUGAAAGUGAGCAUCCGUGGUGGUAUGAUGAUGCAUAAGUGCCGAUUGCACACUUUUUAGAACAACAUAUGCUGCCAUUCAGACAAUGCCUUCUUCAGGGAUGACCCAGAAGAUGCUAAACUACAUUCUAUAUGCAGCAUGGCUACGUAGCAGAAGAGUCUUGGUGCUAAACUAGCCUGCCUGCAGCCCUGACUUGUCAUUUGAAAACAUUUAGUGCAUCAAACAAUGAAAAUAUGACAAGUGAGACCCCAAGCUGUGAGACAGCUAAUAUCCUCUUUCAGGCGAAAAUGGGACAAUCUUGCACUUUUCAAACUCCAUAAACUUGUCUCCUUUGUUCCCAAAUGUUUACAAAGUGUUGCUAAAAGAAGAGGUGAUGCAACACAAAGUUAACAUGCUCCUGUCUCAACUUUUUAGAAAUGUGUUGCUGAAAUAGAAUUUAGAAUAAACAUAUAUUUUUCAUAAAACUAUAAAAA